CUGCAGCUCAAGUGGUGAUCAUUAUUAUUGGGCCUAAAGCGUCCGUAGCCGGUCUAGUAAAUCCUUGGAUACAUCGUACAGCUUAACUGUACGGCUCCCGGGGAGACUGCUAGACUUGGGACUGGGAGAGGUCGGAGGUACUCCAGGGGUAGGGGUGAAAUCUUGUAAUCCUUGGGGGACCACCAGUGGCGAAGGCGUCCGACUAGAACGGGUCCGUCGGUGAGGGACGAAGCCCUGGGGCACAAACCGGAUUAGAUACCCGAGUAGUCC
This 270-nucleotide ribosomal RNA is filed under the name uncultured archaeon. RNAcentral describes it as "partial 16S ribosomal RNA". It matches the Rfam family "Archaeal small subunit ribosomal RNA", at positions 477 to 747 of the family's 1478-position model. The record is from RNAcentral.